GAUCCGGUAGUUCAGCUGGUUAGAAUACUUGCCUGUCACGCAAGUGGUCGCGGGUUCGAAUCCCGUCCGGAUCG
RNAcentral lists this transfer RNA (74 nucleotides) under Algoriella xinjiangensis. Its description in RNAcentral is "tRNA_Asp_GTC". It matches the Rfam family "tRNA". From Rfam's summary of the family: Transfer RNA (tRNA) molecules are approximately 80 nucleotides in length. Their secondary structure includes four short double-helical elements and three loops (D, anti-codon, and T loops). Further hydrogen bonds mediate the characteristic L-shaped molecular structure. tRNAs have two regions of fundamental functional importance: the anti-codon, which is responsible for specific mRNA codon recognition, and the 3' end, to which the tRNAs corresponding amino acid is attached (by aminoacyl-tRNA synthetases). tRNAs cope with the degeneracy of the genetic code in two manners: having more than one tRNA (with a specific anti-codon) for a particular amino acid; and 'wobble' base-pairing, i.e. permitting non-standard base-pairing at the 3rd anti-codon position. RNAcentral also lists the same sequence under 3 other names. The record is from RNAcentral. Lineage: Bacteria; Pseudomonadati; Bacteroidota; Flavobacteriia; Flavobacteriales; Weeksellaceae.